RNAcentral lists this ribosomal RNA (253 nucleotides) under uncultured bacterium. RNAcentral's name for it is "partial 16S ribosomal RNA". It matches the Rfam family "Bacterial small subunit ribosomal RNA", at positions 524 to 776 of the family's 1533-position model. The record is from RNAcentral.
UACGUAGGUGGCAAGCGUUGUCCGGAAUUAUUGGGCGUAAAGCGCGCGCAGGCGGUCCUUUAAGUCUGAUGUGAAAGCCCACGGCUCAACCGUGGAGGGUCAUUGGAAACUGGGGGACUUGAGUGCAGGAGAGAAGAGUGGAAUUCCACGUGUAGCGGUGAAAUGCGUAGAGAUGUGGAGGAACACCGGUGGCGAAGGCGGCAUCCUGGACCGACACUGACGCUGAGGAGCGAAAGCCAGGGGAGCAAACGGG